This 708-nucleotide ribosomal RNA is filed under the name Crypthecodinium cohnii. RNAcentral describes it as "partial Eukaryotic large subunit ribosomal RNA". It matches the Rfam family "Eukaryotic large subunit ribosomal RNA", at positions 1 to 715 of the family's 3401-position model. The record is from RNAcentral. Lineage: Eukaryota; Dinophyceae; Gonyaulacales; Crypthecodiniaceae.
GACCUCAGAUCAGGCAGGAUUACCCGCUGAACUUAAGCAUAUCAAUAAGCGGAGGAAAAGAAACUAACAAGGAUUCCCCUAGUAACGGCGAGUGAAGCGGGAAGAGCUCAAAUUUGAAAUCUGGUAGCCUUCGGUUGCCCGAGUUGUAAUCUAGAGAAAUGUUUUCCGUGCCGGCCCAUGUACAAGUCCCUUGGAACAGGGCGUCAUAGAGGGUGAGAAUCCCGUCCUUGACAUGGACCCCCGGUGCUUUGUGAUACAUUUUCAACGAGUCGAGUUGUUUGGGAAUGCAGCUCAAAUUGGGUGGUAAAUUCCAUCUAAAGCUAAAUAUUGGCGAGAGACCGAUAGCGAACAAGUACCGUGAGGGAAAGAUGAAAAGCACUUUGGAAAGAGAGUUAAACAGUACGUGAAAUUGUUGAAAGGGAAACGAUUGAAGUCAGUCAUGCUCUUUGGUAUUUAUAUCAUUGAGUGGGGUCAACAUCAGUUUUGAUCGAUGGAUAAAGGCACUAGGAAUGUAGCACUCUCGGGUGAACUUAUAGCCUAGCGUCAUAUACAUUGAUUGGGACUGAGGAACGCAGCAUGCCUUUAUGGCCGGGAUUCGUCCACGUACAUGCUUAGGAUGUUGACAUAAUGGCUUUAAACGACCCGUCUUGUAACACGGACCAAGGAGUCUAACAUGCUUGCGAGUAUUUGGGUGUCAAACCCGGAUGC